RNAcentral lists this ribosomal RNA (443 nucleotides) under uncultured bacterium. Its description in RNAcentral is "partial 16S ribosomal RNA". It matches the Rfam family "Bacterial small subunit ribosomal RNA", at positions 338 to 795 of the family's 1533-position model. The record is from RNAcentral.
CCUACGGGUGGCAGCAGUGGGGAAUAUUGGUCAAUGGGCGCAAGCCUGACCCAGCCACGCCGCGUGAAGGAAUAAGGCUUUCGGGUUGUAAACUUCUUUUCUCAGGGACGCAGCAAGUUACGGUACCUGAGGAAUAAGCCACGGCUAACUACGUGCCAGCAGCCGCUGGAAUCCGUAGGUGGCAAGCGUUAUCCGGAUUUACUGGGUGUACAGGGCGUGUAGGCGGGGACGCAAGUCAGAUGUGAAAACCACGGGCUCAACCUGUGGCCUGCAUUUGAAACUGUGUUUCUUGAGUACUGGAGAGGCAGACGGAAUGCCUAGUGUAGCGGUGAAAUGCGUAGAUAUGAGGAGGAACACCAGUGGCGAAGGCGGUCUGCUGGACAGCAACUGACGCUGAGGCGCGAAAGCGUGGGGAGCAAACAGGAUUAGAUACCCGGGUAGUC